UACGUAGGUGGCAAGCGUUGUCCGGAAUUAUUGGGCGUAAAGCGCGCGCAGGCGGUCCUUUAAGUCUGAUGUGAAAGCCCACGGCUCAACCGUGGAGGGUCAUUGGAAACUGGGGGACUUGAGUGCAGAAGAGGAAAGCGGAAUUCCACGUGUAGCGGUGAAAUGCGUAGAGAUGUGGAGGAACACCAGUGGCGAAGGCGGCUUUCUGGUCUGUAACUGACGCUGAGACGCGAAAGCCAGGGGAGCGAACGGG
RNAcentral lists this ribosomal RNA (253 nucleotides) under uncultured bacterium. RNAcentral's name for it is "partial 16S ribosomal RNA". It matches the Rfam family "Bacterial small subunit ribosomal RNA", at positions 524 to 776 of the family's 1533-position model. The record is from RNAcentral.